Molecule: long non-coding RNA, 665 nt
Filed under: Olea europaea (common olive)
Lineage: Eukaryota; Viridiplantae; Streptophyta; Magnoliopsida; Lamiales; Oleaceae
Description: long non-coding RNA (OEUR_LNC000133)
Source: RNAcentral
GUAAAUCUUCAUCUUUCCCACCGACCACCUGCCACCUUCCCUGGCCACUGCCAUGGCCGGAUCUCUCUCCUCUCUCUUUUCCCUCCCUUUUCCCACCAUUUUGAUCUCCAACAAGGGACUACAUACGGGCUGGAGUUAACGUACGAGGCGAGAUCUAUAGCCGAUGCCCUCUAGAUCUGAUUAUUAUAAGAGGAUCCAAAUCUGAUUAUUAUAAGAGGUUACUAUUUUGUGGGAUUUCACAAUUAUAAGACGAAAAUUAGGCACCCAAUGAUGAACAAACAAUACCAACCUUUGGAUCCUGUUCAAGUUACGAGGAUUUGGUUUACAAAGGCUGUGCAAAUCAAGAUUUCCAAGAUUUCAAUGGGAUUUUCAAGCAAACGCUUAAAAUUCUCUUCGACACAUUAAUCUCCCAAUCUCCACAGCAAAAUUUUACAAAGCCACAUCCGAAGACAGCCAAUUCGCCAUUAAUGGGCUCUUUCAAUGAAUAGGCGAUCUCUCAAAUUCCAACUGCGUGAAAAAAGCCUCUGAAAUAUCCGAAAAGUUUUGUGGUCACUCCAUUGCUAUUAGAGUACAACUAAACGGAUGUUAUUUGAGAUAUGAAAUUGCUAGAUUUAGGCAAGUGAGUGGGAUUGAGUUGCUGUACAAGUUUUGUGGUUCAUUUCGAC